RNAcentral lists this ribosomal RNA (894 nucleotides) under Escherichia coli. RNAcentral describes it as "partial 23S ribosomal RNA". It matches the Rfam family "Bacterial large subunit ribosomal RNA", at positions 291 to 1191 of the family's 2925-position model. The record is from RNAcentral. Lineage: Bacteria; Pseudomonadati; Pseudomonadota; Gammaproteobacteria; Enterobacterales; Enterobacteriaceae.
AACGGGGAGGAGCCCAGAGCCUGAAUCAGUGUGUGUGUUAGUGGAAGCGUCUGGAAAGGCGCGCGAUACAGGGUGACAGCCCCGUACACAAAAAUGCACAUGCUGUGAGCUCGAUGAGUAGGGCGGGACACGUGGUAUCCUGUCUGAAUAUGGGGGGACCAUCCUCCAAGGCUAAAUACUCCUGACUGACCGAUAGUGAACCAGUACCGUGAGGGAAAGGCGAAAAGAACCCCGGCGAGGGGAGUGAAAAAGAACCUGAAACCGUGUACGUACAAGCAGUGGGAGCCUCUUUAUGGGGUGACUGCGUACCUUUUGUAUAAUGGGUCAGCGACUUAUAUUCUGUAGCAAGGUUAACCGAAUAGGGGAGCCGAAGGGAAACCGAGUCUUAACUGGGCGUUAAGUUGCAGGGUAUAGACCCGAAACCCGGUGAUCUAGCCAUGGGCAGGUUGAAGGUUGGGUAACACUAACUGGAGGACCGAACCGACUAAUGUUGAAAAAUUAGCGGAUGACUUGUGGCUGGGGGUGAAAGGCCAAUCAAACCGGGAGAUAGCUGGUUCUCCCCGAAAGCUAUUUAGGUAGCGCCUCGUGAAUUCAUCUCCGGGGGUAGAGCACUGUUUCGGCAAGGGGGUCAUCCCGACUUACCAACCCGAUGCAAACUGCGAAUACCGGAGAAUGUUAUCACGGGAGACACACGGCGGGUGCUAACGUCCGUCGUGAAGAGGGAAACAACCCAGACCGCCAGCUAAGGUCCCAAAGUCAUGGUUAAGUGGGAAACGAUGUGGGAAGGCCCAGACAGCCAGGAUGUUGGCUUAGAAGCAGCCAUCAUUUAAAGAAAGCGUAAUAGCUCACUGGUCGAGUCGGCCUGCGCGGAAGAUGUAACGGGGCUAAACCAUG